This 775-nucleotide long non-coding RNA is filed under the name Heterocephalus glaber (naked mole-rat). RNAcentral describes it as "lncRNA (ENSHGLG00100033508.1)". Lineage: Eukaryota; Metazoa; Chordata; Mammalia; Rodentia; Bathyergidae. The record is from RNAcentral.
CUAGAAUUAGCACUUUGUCUUAGUGAUAUUCACUUUUACAACUUUAGUUAAAACUUUUAGAACAGUGUUCAUAUGGAACAUUCCAGUUACUAUAAGAAGUGAGUCUUCCAUAGAAUGAAGACCAUCAUUGAGAUAAGGAGAAACAAUCGAAGAUAUUUAGUAUCUGAAUCCGGCUGUGUCUGAAGGCAACUUUUCCCCGAAUGACUUCCAUCCUUUUCUUUUCCAUUAAUCUUCUGGUUCAACAGACUCCUAUCAGAGCUUCAGGAAGAACUUUGGCUGUUCCCAGGCUCCAAGUUCAAGGACUCUUUCACCUAAUGAUUACUAAGAGAAGCCAACUGCCAUGCUGUGAGCUACCCUAAGGAGAGAGUCACAUGGGCAAAAGGAAAGAAAAGCCCUGAUAUUUUUGGUUAAGAGCCAAUGAGGACCCAAGGCCUGCCAACAGCCAUGUGUAUCCAAGUACACUCCUGCAGUCACUUACUAUGUUAGGAAUAUGCAGUCGUAUGGAGUACUACUCCGUCAUCAAGGAGGAUAAACUUGAGGCAUUUUUAGGUAAAUAGAUGCACCUCAAGACCAUAAUUUUAAGUGAAAUAAACCAGACACACAAGUUUAAAUCUAGCAUUGUUUUCCUUGUGUGAGAAACUCAAAGGGUAAAUAAGGAACAAAAUGGAGGAUAGAUAUUGGCAAGUAGGAAGAACAUGUUCAAAUGGGAAGGGGAACAAAGGAGGAGGAAGGGAAGAGAAAGGAAAUUUUAAAAGAGAAUGGAAGAGAAAAAGUG